RNAcentral lists this long non-coding RNA (1682 nucleotides) under Bemisia tabaci. RNAcentral describes it as "lncRNA ENSSSA3NGG012998". The record is from RNAcentral. Lineage: Eukaryota; Metazoa; Arthropoda; Insecta; Hemiptera; Aleyrodidae.
AUAUGAGCGUACAAAGAUUAGAAAUAUUAGUCACCGACUAAUAAAAUUUGGAUAUAAGAGAGCCGGAAUCAUCAAACUCAAUAUAAUCAGUGCGGAACAGUCAGUAACUCGUUCAUUUACACGGAGGCGCAAUUUUCACGCAGACUUUUGACAGGCAAAUUCAUUCGGUUGGCUUACAAUCGCAGUCUACAAAAUGGCAGUCAAAAAAAUCCUAGUGAUUGUUUUAGUUGCUAUUCUGGGUCUCGCAGGAGGAGUGUAUGCGGAGGAGUGCUCGAGCAAAAGAUGAGAGCGCAAAAAGCGAACUUCAAAAAUGUUUCAGGAAAAAAAGAAGAAAAGAAAGUGCGGAUACUUCAUUCCGACGCUUUGAAAUAUCCCAGAAAAAGUCUGACACCGUUCGUCCGUCAACUACACAUUCCACUUUUACGUGAAUGAAAUACACUUAUCCGAUUGAAAAAUUAGCAAGUCAAAAUUCCAUAUUGUUUAUUUCCUGCGGAUUAAAUAAAUGAGCAUACAUUUCUAAAUUGUAAUAAAUGAUUGUCGUUAAGUUACUGUGCAUUCUGUUAUUUUUACACUUUCACGUCUUUUGAAAUCAAGUCCUUUAGAUGAUUACAUUAGGCAAAAGUAAAACACAUAUAAGAGUAAUAAGACACAAAAAUAGCCCGAAUAAUUUAUCGAAACAAAACGCAAGAAAAUAGGAAAUAAAAGCUAAAAACAAACAGAAUGCCUGGGACGUUUCAGGUGGUUACAACCCUCGAUCCCCUCAACCAGGAAACGGAAAAUACAAAAAUGUGAAAAUAUAAAAACCCUUCAGAUCCUAUUCGUGAUAAGCUUUUUGUGAAUCUUUCGUGUCAUUACAAAAAUGGAUCUGAGAGAAUUUUUGAUUUUGAUAUUUUUACAGGGAGUUGAAAGUUGAAACCACCCCGCAACAUCCCAUGCAUUCGCUAGUUUUUAUCCUUGGGUUCCUAGAUUUGUUAUAUUCUUAUUGUUCGUCAAGAGUGGUGAAUAGAAAAUUGUGUCGCAUUCAUUAAUGCUGUCUUAGAAAUUCGUGGCACCAAAAUCACGGAUGGUUUCAAAUUUUUGGCAAAUCUCGGUUCAUUUUUUUUUUUUUGGCCAAGUCAAAAAAUUCCCUGAAAUCAUCGCAAGAAAAAUUUACGAAUAGCAAUGCGUGCACAUGCAGCAUGGCUGAAAAACUUUGCAACGUAUCGACGUGACGAAAAAAUGUUCGAGUUAGAAAAAUAAUUUUUCAGACUUUUCACGCUUGAGUGUAAUUGUAUGACUUUGAUCAUGUAUAACCCGGUCAUUAAAACUAUACGGACUUCUUGCCGAUUAUACGAACUGAACACAACCCGUAGACACCCUAAAAAUUAAGACCGUACACAGAUUAAACUGCCCAUAGAAGGAUACCAUAAUACUACCGUGCAAAGGAAAAACGCCAGAAGAACAUUCGAGAGUUGCCAAAUUUCCUCCGAUAUUUUAAGGAGUGUAAGAAUUUUCUCUCGAAAUUUUCAGACAAUUUAGAUUUCUCUGCUUCGCACUGAGGAGGUGUUUAGGGGAGAUAUGUUUUCUCUCCUAGCACAGUUAUUGCUUAGGAACGGAUUAGUUCCUCUCUUAAGCACCAAGUACUUGCUCAGGAGAGAAAACAUGCCUAUCGAAAACAACUACUCAAUGCAGAGGAGAGACUU